GAGAUAACAAGAUUUCUCCUUCGCAAAGGACCUUGCUGUUCUCCCGGCUAACAAGCUUUAACGACCAGGCAGAAUCAUUUCAUACAUGGAAAGCCAGCUUUAAAAAUCUCAUAGACGAACUACAAGUUUCUGACUCGGAACAAAUAGACUUACUAAUUAAGUGGCUAGGGCCAGAGUCUGGUAAACAUGCCAUAAGUAUUAGG
This 203-nucleotide long non-coding RNA is filed under the name Mytilus galloprovincialis (Mediterranean mussel). Lineage: Eukaryota; Metazoa; Mollusca; Bivalvia; Mytilida; Mytilidae. The record is from RNAcentral.